RNAcentral lists this small RNA (253 nucleotides) under Leclercia adecarboxylata. The record is from RNAcentral. Lineage: Bacteria; Pseudomonadati; Pseudomonadota; Gammaproteobacteria; Enterobacterales; Enterobacteriaceae.
AACGGCGAGGAUGCCGAGAGGAACCGGACUUAAGGAUAAGGGUCAGGAGCGCCAGGAGGCGAAGACACAGGAUUGUCAGGAAGACGCACGCCUCGGAGGCGUUGAAAAGGGAAAAGGACCUAUCACGGACGGUACCUGCUAACGGAAAAACAGGGUUAGUUGUCAGCAAACAGGGAUUGUCAGACCCAUAACGGGUUGUGAGUCAGGAAAAAAGGCGACAGAUUGCUCUGUCGCCUUUUUUCUUUGCUUGCUU